This 780-nucleotide long non-coding RNA is filed under the name Rattus norvegicus (Norway rat). RNAcentral's name for it is "long non-coding RNA NONRATT031462". The record is from RNAcentral. Lineage: Eukaryota; Metazoa; Chordata; Mammalia; Rodentia; Muridae.
GGGGAUGCAGGAAUGAGGCAAGCGAGGCAGCCAGGAGGGUGGCGAUUGGGCUUGAAUUGUUAUGUUCGACGUUAGUUAUGGAGGGUUGGGACAGCAGACAUGGGAAAUCAGGUUUAUUAAUUCCUUUUUUUUUUCUGUGAUAAAUACCAUGACCAAUACCAUGCUUGUGGGAGGAAGAGUUUAUUAGGGCACCUGGUUCCAGAGUCUGUAAAGCCAAGGGAGGCAAAGGAGCAGGAGACGGGAGCUGCAGGCUGAGCGAUUACAUCUUUGACCACACAGAAAGCAGAGAAAACCCUGGAAGUGGGACGGAGCUAAAAACCCUCAAAGGCUGCCUCUACUCACAAAAGUUCUCCCCGCAAGGCUGUACUCAUACAGGUUCCAUAAGCCUUAUACAACACCACCAACGCGUGUUCGAAUACACAAGCCUAUGGGAGGGGGCAGGACGUACUUCAUUGUAACCACCACAGAGGAUAAUUACUAAACUUUCAAAACCAGAGCAGGGCAGGACUGGAGGAAUGACGUCACAGAGCCAGAGAAAUCUGAGAACAAGAUGAUAGUUCGAGGAGGUGAAGGAGGUUCAUGAAGGAUGUACCCAGCACCAUGACUGCCCCACUGUGUAACCAUGGGAACAACACUUCCAGGCUCCAAAAUUCCUCAUUUACAGGCAGUAACUUGCGAGACUGGAGACGGAUCCGCGUGUAACUUCUGCGGAUCCCACGCAGAUCCCCAGAAGUCUUGGUUUCUCUGUGAAGUCUUGCCUGACAACGGGCUCUGUUUUCA